UACGUAGGGUGCGAGCGUUAAUCGGAAUUACUGGGCGUAAAGUGUGCGCAGGCGGCCGAGCAAGUCGAGUGUGAAAGCCCCGAGCUUAACUUGGGAACUGCGCUCGAAACUACUUGGCUAGAGUGUGGCAGAGGGAGGUGGAAUUCCACGUGUAGCGGUGAAAUGCGUAGAGAUGUGGAGGAACACCGAUGGCGAAGGCAGCCUCCUGGGCCAACACUGACGCCCAUGCACGAAAGCGUGGGGAGCAAACAGG
This 253-nucleotide ribosomal RNA is filed under the name uncultured bacterium. Its description in RNAcentral is "partial 16S ribosomal RNA". It matches the Rfam family "Bacterial small subunit ribosomal RNA", at positions 524 to 776 of the family's 1533-position model. The record is from RNAcentral.